GACCGACGUUCAAACAGUGUGAUAUAUAAAUGUGGGUACCAGCUGCAUACAGAUUACUGGGACGUCUGUUGCUUCCACACUUCUAUGCUGUCUGCUGUGCCAUGCAGUCCCUAGUUUCUCCUGUCACCAAAGCCAUUUUUAUCGCUCUGUUUCUCUUCGCUAUCUUACUAAUACUCUAUGUCAUCCUCUGGUAUAUUUGCAGAGACGUCGAUAAUGAUUAUAUUUAACAUUAGCAAGGUCUGGGACCGAGGAGUAGUGCAUAGACAAGUGAUAAAGAUGAAGACCCUACACCAACGAAUGUUUCCACAACUGAUAAAAAUCUCAGAAGAAGAUUGCAUUAGACAGCCUUUGGGACCAAAAUUGAUUUUUUCGUCUGACGCAAAGGAAUGAAAUUAAAUUUGCUCAAGAACUGUGGACAUAUUCACUGACAGUGAGACAUUUUGAAGGAAAGAUGGGACAGGACAAACCUGAAGUGAAGAGGAAGAUGGCGACUGUGCGG
This is a long non-coding RNA of Lepisosteus oculatus (spotted gar), 499 nucleotides long. RefSeq lists it as uncharacterized. The record is from RefSeq and is a predicted model, not a curated record. Lineage: Eukaryota; Metazoa; Chordata; Actinopteri; Semionotiformes; Lepisosteidae.